NNNNNNNNNNNNNNNNNNNNNNNNNNNNNNNNNNNNGGAACACCCCAAAUUCCAACUGGAACAACCAAAUUCCAACAGGAACACCCCAAAUUCCAACAGGAACACCCCGAAUUCCAACUGGAACACCCAAAAUUCCAACAGGAACACCCUAAAUUCCAACUGGAACAACCAAAUUCCAAUGGGAACACCCCGAAUUCCAACGGGAACACCCCAAAUUCCAACUGGAACACCCCAAAUUCCAACAGGAACACCCCAAAUUCCAACUGGAACACCCAAAUUCCAACGGGAACACCACAAAUUCCAACAGGAACACCCCAAAUUCCUACUGCAACAUCCCAAAUUUCAACUGGAACACCCCAAACCCCCCCAGGAACACCCGAAAUUCCCGGAAUUCCCAGAAUUCCCGUUAUUCCCGAGGAUACAGGACGAUGCCGGCCAGCAGCCAGCAGUCGUGGCGCCGGUGCCACCGCGCUGUCACCGUCCCCAGCCCUGGGCACACCCCAAACCCCACUGGGAACACCCCAAACCCCCCAGGAACACCCGGAAUUCCCAGAAUUCCCGGAAUUCCCGAGGAUACAGGACGAUGCCGGCCAGCAGCCAGCAGUCGUGGCACCAAGGCCACCGCGCUGUCACCGUCCCCAGCCCUGGGGACACCCUAAACCCCCCUAGAAACACCCCAAAACCCACUGGGGACACCCCAAACCCCACUGGGGACACCCCAAACCCCACUGGGGACACCCGAAAUUCCCGGAAUUCCCAGAAUUCCCGUUUUUCCCGAGGAUACAGGACGAUGCCGGCCAGCAGCCAGCAGUCGUGGCGCCGGUGCCACCGCGCUGUCACCGUCCCCAGCCCUGGGGACACCCCAAACCCCACUGGGGACACCCCAACACCCCCAGGAACACCCGGAAUUCCCAGAAUUCCUGGAAUUCCUGAGGAUACAGGACGAUGCCGGCCAGCAGCCAGCAGUUGUGGCACCGGUGCCACCGCGCUGUCACCGUCCCCAGCCCUGAGGACACCCCAAACCCCACUGGGAACACCCCAGACCCCACUGGGAACACCCAAAAUUCCCAGAAUUCCCGUUUUUCCCGAGGAUACAGGACGAUGCCGGCCAGCAGCCAGUAGUCGUGGCGCCGGUGCCAGAUCUCGUUGAGUUUCCCC
Molecule: long non-coding RNA, 1158 nt
Filed under: Parus major (Great Tit)
Lineage: Eukaryota; Metazoa; Chordata; Aves; Passeriformes; Paridae
Description: lncRNA (ENSPMJG00000004505.1)
Source: RNAcentral